This 718-nucleotide ribosomal RNA is filed under the name uncultured fungus. RNAcentral describes it as "SSU rRNA". It matches the Rfam family "Eukaryotic small subunit ribosomal RNA", at positions 331 to 1053 of the family's 1831-position model. The record is from RNAcentral. Lineage: Eukaryota; Fungi.
GGAUAGAGGCCUACCAUGGUGGUAACGGGUAACGGGGUGUUAGGGCACGACACCGGAGAGGGAGCCUGAGAAACGGCUACCACAUCCAAGGAUGGCAGCAGGCGCGCAAAUUACCCAAUCCCGACACGGGGAGGUAGUGACAAUAAAUAACAAUACGGGGUUCUUUCGGAUCUCGUAAUUGGAAUGAGUACAAUUUAAAUCUCUUAACGAGGAACAAUUGGAGGGCAAGUCUGGUGCCAGCAGCCGCGGUAAUUCCAGCUCCAAUAGCGUAUAUUAAAGUUGUUGCAGUUAAAAAGCUCGUAGUUGAAUUUCGGGGUUAGUAGGUUGGUCAUGCCUCUGGUAUGUACUGGUCUCACUGAUUCCUCCUUCCUUAUGAACCGUAAUGCCAUUAAUUUGGUGUUGCGGGGAAUUUGGACUGUUACUUUGAAAAAAUUAGAGUGUUUAAAGCAAGCUAACGCUUGAAUACAUUAGCAUGGAAUAAUGAAAUAGGACGUUCGAUCUUAUUUUGUUGGUUUCUAGGAUUGACGUAAUGAUUAAUAGGGAUAGUUGGGGGCAUUAGUAUUCAAUUGUCAGAGGUGAAAUUCUUGGAUUUAUUGAAGACUAACUACUGCGAAAGCAUUUGCCAAGGAUGUUUUCAUUAAUCAAGAACGAAAGUUAGGGGAUCGAAGACGAUCAGAUACCGUCGUAGUCUUAACCAUAAACUAUGCCGACUAGGGAU